UGAGGAAUCUUGCGCAAUGGGGGAAACCCUGACGCAGCAACGCCGCGUGAGUGAGGAAGGUUUUCGGAUCGUAAAGCUCUGUCAGUUGGAAAGAAAUGUCUGAGAGUCAAUACCUUUCAGGCUUGACGGUACCAACAGAGGAAGCACCGGCUAACUCCGUGCCAGCAGCCGCGGUAAUACGGGGGGUGCAAGCGUUGUUCGGACUUAUUGGGCGUAAAGAGCGUGUAGGCGGCCGGACAUGUCAGAUGUGAAAUCCCCGGGCUUUACCCGGUAAGUGCAUUUGAGACUGUCUGGAUAGAGUAGGGGAGAGGAAAGUGGAAUUCCUGGUGUAGAGGUGAAAUUCGUAGAUAUCAGGAGGAUAGCCGGUGGCGAAUGCGACUUCCUGGCCCUAUACUGACGCUGAGACGCGAGAGCGUGGGUAG
Molecule: ribosomal RNA, 422 nt
Filed under: uncultured bacterium
Lineage: Bacteria
Description: bacterial SSU rRNA
Rfam family: Bacterial small subunit ribosomal RNA
Source: RNAcentral